GGAGGUCCGAACCCACGAGCGUUGAAAAGCUCGGGGAUGACUUGUGGGUAGCGGUGAAAUUCCAAUCGAGCCCGGAGAUAGCUGGUUCUCCCCGAAAUAGCUUUAGGGCUAGCCUCAAGGUGAGAGAUACGGAGGUAGAGCACUGAAUGUCCUAGGGGGUAUUGCACCUACCGAAGACUAUCAAACUCCGAAUGCCGUCAUCUUAUACUUGGGAGUCAGACUGUGGGUGAUAAGAUUCAUAGUCGAAAGGGCAACAGCCCAGAUCGUCAGCUAAGGUCCCUAAAUGUAAGUUAAGUGGUAAAGGAUGUGGGAUUGCACAGACAACCAGGAUGUUGGCUUAGAAGCAGCCACUCAUUCAAAGAGUGCGUAAUAGCUCACUGGUCGAGUGAUCCUGCGCCGAAGAUUUCCGGGGCUAAAACUUACUACCGAAGCUACGGCAUCAGUAAUGAUGGGUAGGGGAGCUUCCCAUACGGGUUGAAGCAUGACCGUAAGGACAUGUGGACAGUAUGGGAGUGAGAAUGUUGGCAUGAGUAGCGAGAUGUGGGUGAGAAUCCCACAGGCCGUAAACCCAAGGUUUCCAGGGGAAGGGUCGUCCGCCCUGGGUUAGUCGGGACCUAAGCUGAGGCCGAAAGGCGUAGGUGAUGGACAACAGGUUGAUAUUCCUGUACUACCGAUAACCGUUUGAGAGAAGGGAUGACACAGUAGGAUAAGCUAAGCACACUGUUGGUUAUGUGUGCCCAAGCAUUGAGGCAGUCAAAGUAGGCAAAUCCGCUUUGAUAAUGCUGGGAUGUGAUGGGGAGCGAAAUUUAGUAGCGAAGUAGCUGAUUUCACACUGUCAAGAAAAGUCUCUAUCGAGGUUAAAGGUACCCGUACCGCAAACCGACACAGGUGGGUGAGGAGAGUAUCCUAAGGCCA
This 915-nucleotide ribosomal RNA is filed under the name Clostridioides difficile. RNAcentral describes it as "bacterial LSU rRNA". It matches the Rfam family "Bacterial large subunit ribosomal RNA", at positions 768 to 1689 of the family's 2925-position model. The record is from RNAcentral. Lineage: Bacteria; Bacillati; Bacillota; Clostridia; Peptostreptococcales; Peptostreptococcaceae.